Non-coding RNA from Callithrix jacchus (white-tufted-ear marmoset), 3850 nucleotides. The record is from RefSeq and is a predicted model, not a curated record. NCBI's taxonomy places the organism in Eukaryota, Metazoa, Chordata, Mammalia, Primates, Cebidae.
GGAGUUUGCAGCAUCUGGAAUUCGGCUGGGGAAUAUAUAGUGAGUCAAGGGACUAGGGUUACCGGGAGGCAUAAAAGAGAUGAGGAAAGGCCAAUGUAGAGAGUUUUUGUUAAGGUCUUGUUACACCUGAAAAACGUUCCUCGUGGGGCUGUUAUAUUAGUGGUUACCCGUAUAGUUCUGUUACAGCUAGGGAAGUUUCGGCCUAGGGAAUGUGGGGUUUGGUAGGGAAUACUCGGGGUCCCAUCGAUUCCCAUGACUAAGACCUGGGAAGGGGUGAGAUGACCAGAAUAAGAAGGAAGAGCGGAGUAGGUAGCCCCCAUGUCUUGUGACCCUAGGCUCGGUGAGGGUAACCGGAGUCGGAAAGCCAGGGCCCCGCUAGUCAUCUAGCAGCCCUAGUAGACUGGGGAACGGAGCUCCCUCGGAGGUCGGCUCCUGGCAAGCAGGCUCCUCCCUACUGAGGGUGACCGCCGGCUGCGUAACGCCAGUGUGUCUGUUUUGAGGAACCGGCACCCUGGGGAAGCUGGGGCAGUCUGACUUCCAGUGUCCCGGGAGCCAACAGAUAGGGCAAGGCUUAGUUGGUGGCCAUGGUUGUGGACAGGCUCGGGACCAGUGUCCUUCCUUUCCACAUUUGAAACAUGCCCCUGGAGGGGCAUGGGUUUCGGCCUUGGGCUUCUGGUUCCCUGCCGGCCUUAGAGCCGCCACUAGGGCUUGGGUCUGGAGGGCAGCCUUCUGCUUCAUGCGAGUUUGGCGGGCAGCCUCAGCCGCAUCUUCCCUGGCAUUGAAUACUUUAAAGGCCAUUUUUACCAGGUCUUGGAUGGGAGUCUCUGGCCCCUCUUCUGCUUUCUUUAGUUUCUUUCUUAUGUCGGGUGCUGAUUGGGAGAUAAAGUGGGAGGCUAAUACAGUGGCCCCGUUUUGGGAGCUGGAUCUAGUCGAGUGUACCGGACUAGGGCUUCUUAUGUUUGAGUGAGGUAUUGGAAUUCUUUAAUAUAGGUGGACGGGUUGGCUGAGAAGGAUCCUAAACGUUGCUCAAUUUGGGACAGGUCUUGGAGUGAGAAAGGAACAUGGACCCUGAUUAAACCUUCUGCGCCUGCUACUUCUCGGAGUGGGGCCAGGAUAGCUGGCUGGUGGGAGCGGGUGUGGGCCGCCACCGGAGAGGCAAGAGGAAGUGCAGCCUCUGAGGGAGGGGGCUCAGAGGGAGUAGAGGGAGAGCGAGGCAUGGCCUCUGAGGUAGGAGGUGCAGAGGGAGUGGGGGAAGGGCGUGCCGUUGAUGGCGAGUGGUUGCUGAGAUUGGCAGGAGAGGACAGAUGUUCAGGCAGAUCCUCCGGUGAGGAGUAGGGAGGGGGAGAGGUAGUGGAGGAAGAUUUACGGGGGGUUCGAGAUAAGAGGAUUUGGUAGGUGGAGCAGGAAGAACAUAGGUUGGGGUGGGUACGGAGGUCCCAAAAAGCCUGGACGUAAGGAAUUUCAUUGUCCUUGCCCAUGCGGCGACAAAAAUCGUCGAGAUCUCGGAGGGUGUUGAAAUCAAAAGUGCCAGUCGGGGGCCAAUGUGACUGGUUACCGAGUUUGUAUUGGGGCCAAGCCACCUGAGACAGGAAGAUAAGCUUUUUCUUUCUGAGGGUUUGGGAAUAUCCCAAUUUGGUAAAAUUCGCAGCAAGCACCCAAGGGGGGUGCUCAGAGGUAUUUUGGACUCCGAAUUUCCCAUGGCAGGCACAGCUACAGACUCUCCGGCGCGGAUGGGCAGAUGCAACGAAAAGGCGUCCCCGUUCGUUGCAAAUUCCCCGGAGUACAAUUAAGUACGGAAAGGGAAGCGGUCAGAGGGGCGUCCCCCGUCUGGCGGCUGUCCCUCGGAAGGCUCCUGGAGCCGGAAUGGAAGACUACCUUGGCUCGGCCGAGACUAGGCAAGGAGUCCGUGCGGAACACCGGAGAGGGAGCAACUGCACCGUGCCGUAGGAAGAGGAGACGGGAAGCAGGGGAAGGCAAAGCAAGAAAAACUUGGCUUACCUUAAUCGGAACGUGGAGGUGGCAGGGCCAGUGUUGGCACCGAGCGUCUGUUUACAACAAAUUUGGUGACCAUGAAGGGACCCAUUCCCCUCCAGGGUGGUCUCUGGUCCUCUCUCUUGUGAGGAGGCACCCCCACUGCCUCGUUGGGGCAACAGCAACCGGAAGCCUCUCAACAACAGCAACCGGAAGUCUCUCACAAUCAGCCGCUGUGCCAGGCACUGGGCUACCCAACCACAGGUCUGAGAAUUGCCUUUCCAAGCCCGUGGAAUUUUGUUCAGCCAGCUACUGCCAGUUAUUUCUCCUUCUUUGCUUCCAAGGUAGCAGAAACCCAGGAGAAAAUAUGUCACACCUAAAAAUGUGUUUUCUUUACGGAUUUCCCUAGAAGGCUGCCAGCCUGGGCAGUGGGUGAGAAGCCGCUCUGCUGGUUUACACAUAGCAGGCCCAGUGCCCUGCAGGCUCAGCGGGGAGCUCUGGCCCUGACCCAGCCGAAUCUUACCCAUGCAGGUGGCGGAUCAGAGGACUUUCUGCAACUAGGAAAACAACUCAAAGGUCAGCUCUUCCCAGCAGUGAAUAAACACUGACAUCCCAAGUUCUGAGAGAGGCCCACGGAGGUGGCCUCUCCCCUAGUGAGAAGUCUUCCAUGGCUACUUAUUGAUUAUUGGUCUGGGGGCUUCUGGACUUCAAAGACAAGUUGGAUUAAUCUCUGUAUCCUGGUGCCCGGCUCAGUGCCUGGCACGUGGGUGGUGUUCGUUGAGUUGACAUCAGGGCCUGUCUCUUCUAGUGUUUUUCAUCACCUCUGCAAAGAGGUAACCUCUCCUGGGCUUCAUUCCUUCGGAUUUGAACCUUACCUCUCUGAAGGAUGGUGGGCUAUCCUUUGGCAGGAUCCACACUGUGCAUCCAGGAAAACACACCAGAUGAGGAACUCUUGAUGACUGGUUCACACUAAUACUGAAAGCUUAUUCCAGAAAAUUUAGAAAAUAAAGAUGACUAAUAAAAGAUGAUAAAAAUUCUCUUCCCCCUCCCCUUCCUGCUCUAACAGAACUGUUACACUGCCCUGCAGCCACCUCAGGUGGGGAAUGUUGUGUCUCCUGGAAUAAAUGUCCCUCCACUUUCAGGCCAGUCUGACACGAGUGUGUCAGACUUUAGGUGGGACUUCAUUGAUCGGCUGGCCUCCACAGCCCCUCAGUCUAGCAAGGAGACCACUAUGAAGCUUUGGGUCUCCAGGUGUCUGUUUCAACUCAGAUGCUACAUCGAGUAGUGUGGUGUUCGCGCCAAAAGCUCGAGACAGUUAGUUGAUUCGUCUCAGUUUGGCUGCUGGACCUGUACUGCAUUUCCUUACCUCGAGGGCUGUCGAGUGAGACAGGGCCGGAAGCUGACUCACUAAAAGCAACAACAGAAUGCAAAGCAAAGGCCUGCAGUUUAUGAGGACAUUGUGCUGUCUGCUUCCAUGUCCCCCUUCAGUCUCUGUGUAAGCAAUAAACUUGCUGCAAUUGAAAUGUCUAAGAAGAGCAGAGACCUCUGCCCAUAUUUUCCCUGGAGCCAAGCCUUUGUUCUAGUUCCUGAUGCAAAACAGGUUUAACCAGCCACCUUAAGGGCGCCAUUGUAUCUUUAGAAUGUAAAAUCAUCGAAAUGUAAACUACUACCAUUAGCCCCCUUAAACUGCUUCCUGAGCAGGAUAUCAAGCCCCGGAUAUCUAUUUUAUGGAGUUUUUGUUUCCUUUCUGUUUUCCCCUUUGUUUCUUUCUGCUGAGAUGACGUAAAUGUAAACAAGACAAAAGGUAUAAAAGCUGUAACCCACAAAAAUAAAUUUGCUGCGUUUUGGCCAUAAUCUUCACGCAGCCCUCCAGACUCUA